CAAACGACUCUUGGCAACGGAUAUCUCGGCUCAUGCAUCGAUGAAGAACGUAGCGAAAUGCGAUACUUGGUGUGAAUUGCAGAAUCCCGUGAACCAUCGAGUUUUUGAACGCAAGUUGCGCCCGAAGCCUUUUGGCCGAGGGCACGUCUGCCUGGGCGUCGCAC
Molecule: ribosomal RNA, 164 nt
Filed under: Senecio adamantinus
Lineage: Eukaryota; Viridiplantae; Streptophyta; Magnoliopsida; Asterales; Asteraceae
Description: 5.8S ribosomal RNA
Rfam family: 5.8S ribosomal RNA
About the family: 5.8S ribosomal RNA (5.8S rRNA) is a component of the large subunit of the eukaryotic ribosome. It is transcribed by RNA polymerase I as part of the 45S precursor that also contains 18S and 28S rRNA.
Source: RNAcentral